UACGGAGGGGGCUAGCGUUGUUCGGAAUUACUGGGCGUAAAGCGCGUGUAGGCGGGCUGUUAAGUCGGGGGUGAAAUCCCAGAGCUCAACUCUGGAACUGCCUUCAAUACUGGUAGGCUGGAGUCUGGUAGAGGGGAGUGGAAUUGCGAGUGUAGAGGUGAAAUUCGUAGAUAUUCGCAAGAACACCAGUGGCGAAGGCGGCGCGCUGGACCGGUGCUGACGCUGAGGCGCGAAAGCGUGGGGAGCAAACAGG
Molecule: ribosomal RNA, 253 nt
Filed under: uncultured bacterium
Lineage: Bacteria
Description: partial 16S ribosomal RNA
Rfam family: Bacterial small subunit ribosomal RNA
Source: RNAcentral